This 429-nucleotide ribosomal RNA is filed under the name Bacteroidota bacterium. RNAcentral describes it as "Bacteroidetes bacterium partial 16S ribosomal RNA". It matches the Rfam family "Bacterial small subunit ribosomal RNA", at positions 355 to 776 of the family's 1533-position model. Lineage: Bacteria; Pseudomonadati; Bacteroidota. The record is from RNAcentral.
UAGGGAAUCUUCCGCAAUGGGCGAAAGCCUGACGGAGCAACGCCGCGUGAGUGAUGAAGGUCUUCGGAUCGUAAAACUCUGUUAUUAGGGAAGAACAAAUGUGUAAGUAACUAUGCACGUCUUGACGGUACCUAAUCAGAAAGCCACGGCUAACUACGUGCCAGCAGCCGCGGUAAUACGUAGGUGGCAAGCGUUAUCCGGAAUUAUUGGGCGUAAAGCGCGCGUAGGCGGUUUUUUAAGUCUGAUGUGAAAGCCCACGGCUCAACCGUGGAGGGUCAUUGGAAACUGGAAAACUUGAGUGCAGAAGAGGAAAGUGGAAUUCCAUGUGUAGCGGUGAAAUGCGCAGAGAUAUGGAGGAACACCAGUGGCGAAGGCGACUUUCUUGUCUGUAACUGACGCUGAUGUGCGAAAGCGUGGGAAUCAAACAGG